RNAcentral lists this transfer RNA (72 nucleotides) under Bigelowiella longifila. It matches the Rfam family "tRNA", at positions 6 to 65 of the family's 71-position model. From Rfam's summary of the family: Transfer RNA (tRNA) molecules are approximately 80 nucleotides in length. Their secondary structure includes four short double-helical elements and three loops (D, anti-codon, and T loops). Further hydrogen bonds mediate the characteristic L-shaped molecular structure. tRNAs have two regions of fundamental functional importance: the anti-codon, which is responsible for specific mRNA codon recognition, and the 3' end, to which the tRNAs corresponding amino acid is attached (by aminoacyl-tRNA synthetases). tRNAs cope with the degeneracy of the genetic code in two manners: having more than one tRNA (with a specific anti-codon) for a particular amino acid; and 'wobble' base-pairing, i.e. permitting non-standard base-pairing at the 3rd anti-codon position. The record is from RNAcentral. Lineage: Eukaryota; Cercozoa; Chlorarachniophyceae.
AAUAGCGCAGUUGGUAGCGCGUCGGUCUCAUAUAAAUAUUUAUCCGAAAGUCGUGAGUUCAAAUCUCACUUG